GUCGAACGGUAGCACAGAGAGCUUGCUCUCGGGUGACGAGUGGCGGACGGGUGAGUAAUGUCUGGGAAACUGCCUGAUGGAGGGGGAUAACUACUGGAAACGGUAGCUAAUACCGCAUAACGUCGCAAGACCAAAGUGGGGGACCUUCGGGCCUCAUGCCAUCAGAUGUGCCCAGAUGGGAUUAGCUAGUAGGUGGGGUAACGGCUCACCUAGGCGACGAUCCCUAGCUGGUCUGAGAGGAUGACCAGCCACACUGGAACUGAGACACGGUCCAGACUCCUACGGGAGGCAGCAGUGGGGAAUAUUGCACAAUGGGCGCAAGCCUGAUGCAGCCAUGCCGCGUGUAUGAAGAAGGCCUUCGGGUUGUAAAGUACUUUCAGCGAGGAGGAAGGCAUUGUGGUUAAUAACCACAGUGAUUGACGUUACUCGCAGAAGAAGCACCGGCUAACUCCGUGCCAGCAGCCGCGGUAAUACGGAGGGUGCAAGCGUUAAUCGGAAUUACUGGGCGUAAAGCGCACGCAGGCGGUCUGUCAAGUCGGAUGUGAAAUCCCCGGGCUCAACCUGGGAACUGCAUUCGAAACUGGCAGGCUUGAGUCUCGUAGAGGGGGGUAGAAUUCCAGGUGUAGCGGUGAAAUGCGUAGAGAUCUGGAGGAAUACCGGUGGCGAAAGCGGCCCCCUGGACGAAGACUGACGCUCAGGUGCGAAAGCGUGGGGAGCAAACAGGGAUGACAUACCCUGGUAGUCCACGCCGUAACUAUGUCUAUUUGGAGGUUGUUCCCUUGAGGAGUGGCUUCCGGAGCUAACGCGUUAAAUAGACCGCCUGGGGAGUACGGCCGCAAGGUUAAAACUCAAAUGAAUUGACGGGGGCCCGCACAAGCGGUGGAGCAUGUGGUUUAAUUCGAUGCAACGCGAAGAACCUUACCUGGUCUUGACAUCCACGGAAUUUGGCAGAGAUGCCUUAGUGCCUUCGGGAACCGUGAGACAGGUGCUGCAUGGCUGUCGUCAGCUCGUGUUGUGAAAUGUUGGGUUAAGUCCCGCAACGAGCGCAACCCUUAUCCUUUGUUGCCAGCGGUUAGGCCGGGAACUCAAAGGAGACUGCCAGUGAUAAACUGGAGGAAGGUGGGGAUGACGUCAAGUCAUCAUGGCCCUUACGACCAGGGCUACACACGUGCUACAAUGGCAUAUACAAAGAGAAGCGACCUCGCGAGAGCAAGCGGACCUCAUAAAGUAUGUCGUAGUCCGGAUUGGAGUCUGCAACUCGACUCCAUGAAGUCGGAAUCGCUAGUAAUCGUGAAUCAGAAUGUCACGGUGAAUACGUUCCCGGGCCUUGUACACACCGCC
Molecule: ribosomal RNA, 1341 nt
Filed under: [Enterobacter] lignolyticus
Lineage: Bacteria; Pseudomonadati; Pseudomonadota; Gammaproteobacteria; Enterobacterales; Enterobacteriaceae
Description: bacterial SSU rRNA
Rfam family: Bacterial small subunit ribosomal RNA
Source: RNAcentral